GAGGGUAUAGCUCAGUGGUGGAGUGUGUGAGUAGCAUGCACGAAGUCCUGGGUUCACUUCCCAGUACUUCUG
RNAcentral lists this transfer RNA (72 nucleotides) under Camelus bactrianus (Bactrian camel). It matches the Rfam family "tRNA". Rfam says of the family: Transfer RNA (tRNA) molecules are approximately 80 nucleotides in length. Their secondary structure includes four short double-helical elements and three loops (D, anti-codon, and T loops). Lineage: Eukaryota; Metazoa; Chordata; Mammalia; Artiodactyla; Camelidae. RNAcentral also lists the same sequence under 1 other name. The record is from Rfam by way of RNAcentral.